This is an RNA transcript of Magnolia sinica, 753 nucleotides long. RefSeq lists it as uncharacterized. NCBI's taxonomy places the organism in Eukaryota, Viridiplantae, Streptophyta, Magnoliopsida, Magnoliales, Magnoliaceae. The transcript has 3 exons. The record is from RefSeq and is a predicted model, not a curated record.
UCUUCUUCUUUUUGUUGAGUGGUUUUCAUGUAGUGAAUCUUUUCCUUGAUCUGUUGAUGCAGUUUUAGAGAUUAUGUUUUUGAUCAGGUUGUUGCCCUUGUUCGGGAAACUUGUGCUCAAGCACUAGGUGCCACACUAAGUACAUGCAUCCUUCACUAGUUCAUGAAACACUGAAUAUAUUACUACAUAUGCAAGUAAUGAUUAUGAAGGAAGUGGUAGUACAAGAAUGGGAAAUUUGUCAUGGAACCCUUUUGGGGAUCAAAUAUUUGGUUGUUGUUCGAAGGUCAUGGAAAAAGGGAUCUCCACUUUUAGCAGAGCUAAACCAAAGUCUGCCGCUUCCCUAAAGCGAGGUUGCACUAGCCAAGACUUGGUACAAUGUACCCCUAAUCAACUCCCUCGUGCUUUACUUAGGCAUGCAAGUAACCCUUUCUUUGCGCCAUCUCUAGCUCUGGGUCCACUAAGUUCUUCAAGCAUGUGAAAGAGGACAAAUUUUAAAACUCUUUUAUGUUCAGCAUGGCUAGUAGGAGAAAAAAAUACCCUAAUAUUCUAGAAUUGAAGAAAAUCUUCUGAAAUAAUGAAACAACUUAUUAUUUCUUCCCAAAAGGACACUAUUAAACCUUUUAAAUUAGUCAGCUGUAUCAGAUGCACCUCCAACAUUGAACUUAAAGAGUAUUGUUUUACGAGGCAGAAGGCAUGCAUUAAAAGGUGAUGUAAAUGGCCUUCAAUAUCUGCCAAUUAUCACCAAUUAUAAUG